UCCCUGGCUAGGGCUGAGAUUUCUAGGAGGAGAAAUACAGGUGGAAAUGAGCAGCUCUAUGUUAUGACAAAUCAGUCGACGAGUAUCUAUUCUCCACCUCCUUGGUGUCUGGCGCUGUGUGAGGCACAGGCAGCGUAAGGGUGAAUAAGGUACAAAGAACCCUGCUGUCACUGAGCUGUUAGCUGAGAAGGUAGAGAGGACAUGAAGCCAAUCAUUACAAGGCAUCCCAAAAGAUAAAUGAACAAGUGGCAUGGAGUUGUGGCCACGCUUGUGGAGUAUGAGCUCAGGCUAUUCCCCUUCAAAUACUGAUUCAAGACGACAGGAGAUGAUCUUGAGCAGGAUGCAGAAGUUUCUGAGCCUGAAUUUCCCUAAUUGUAAAAUGGGAGAAUUUCUAGUAGCUCCCUGAAAGCACUGAAUGAGAAGUAAAUGUAUUAAUACUUGUAAAUUGUGCCCACAGUAUGCCAGGCAGCUGAUAGAAUUCAUAUGCCUUAGUAAAGGUGAUUUUUACAAUAUUUGUUCCUGUUUUGUACGCUUUACAUUUAAGUCCCUGUUAUGAAUUGUACACUAUCCAAGCAAAAUGCAUUUUUAAAUUCUCACCAACAUGCAUACUUUCUCUGUCUAAUGAAGUAAUUUGUAAGAUAAUAGC
This 646-nucleotide long non-coding RNA is filed under the name Homo sapiens (human). Its description in RNAcentral is "HSALNT0157978". The record is from RNAcentral. Lineage: Eukaryota; Metazoa; Chordata; Mammalia; Primates; Hominidae.